This is a non-coding RNA of Caenorhabditis elegans, 132 nucleotides long. NCBI's taxonomy places the organism in Eukaryota, Metazoa, Nematoda, Chromadorea, Rhabditida, Rhabditidae. The record is from Ensembl.
ACUGGAGAGCCCAUGCCUCCCAAACGGUCUGUGUUUUUAUUUGUGGGCUCAGAAGGGUUGCGAUCUGCCGAGUGCUGAAGAUUGCCUCCCCUCUCAGUGUAUUAUUCUUUUAUCUCAUAUGGAUCGCAGCUC